RNAcentral lists this ribosomal RNA (425 nucleotides) under uncultured bacterium. RNAcentral describes it as "bacterial SSU rRNA". It matches the Rfam family "Bacterial small subunit ribosomal RNA", at positions 82 to 507 of the family's 1533-position model. The record is from RNAcentral.
UACUGGUGUGGAGGUGGCGCACGGGUGAGUAACACGUAGGUAAUCUGCCUUCAGGUCUGACAUAACCCCGAGAAAUCGGGGCUAAUAGCAGAUGAUGCAGCGGCUUGACAUCAAGACAGUUGUUAAGGCUUCGGCGCCUGAAGAUGAGCCUGCGUCUGAUUAGCUAGUUGGCGGAGUAAUGGCCCACCAAGGCUACGAUCAGUAACUGGUCUGAGAGGAUGAUCAGUCACACUGGAACUGAGACACGGUCCAGACUCCUACGGGAGGCAGCAGUAAGGAAUAUUGCUCAAUGGGAGAAAUCCUGAAGCAGCAACGCCGCGUGAGGGAUGAAGGGCUUUUGCUCGUAAACCUCUGUAGUGAGGGAAAAAAUUUCCACUCUGUGGAAUAUGAUGGUACCUCAAAAGUAAGCCCCGGCUAACUACGUG